RNAcentral lists this ribosomal RNA (731 nucleotides) under Alternaria rumicis. RNAcentral describes it as "Alternaria sp. RSB-2020a partial large subunit ribosomal RNA". It matches the Rfam family "Eukaryotic large subunit ribosomal RNA", at positions 68 to 817 of the family's 3401-position model. Lineage: Eukaryota; Fungi; Ascomycota; Dothideomycetes; Pleosporales; Pleosporaceae. The record is from RNAcentral.
ACCGGGAUUGCCCUAAUAACGGGGAGUGAAGCGGCAACAGCUCAAAUUUGAAAUCUGGCUCUUUUAAAGUCCGAGUUGUAAUUUGCAAAGGGCGCUUUGGCUUUGGCAGCGGUCCAAGUUCCUUGAAACAGGACGUCCCAAAGGGUGAAAAUCCCGUACGUGGUCGCUGGCUAUUGCCGUGUAAAGCCCCUUCAACAAGUCAAGUUGUUUGGGAAUGCAGCUCUAAAUGGGAGGUACAUUUCUUCUAAAGCUAAAUAUUGGCCAAAGACCGAUACCGCACAAGUAAAGUGAUCGAAAAAUGAAAAGCACUUUGGAAAAAAAGUCAAACAGCCCGUGAAAUUGUUGAAAGGGAACCGCUUGCAGCCAAACUUGCUUGCAGUUGCUCUUCCGGGCUUUUGCCCGGUGCACUCUUCUGCAGGCAGGCCAGCAUCAGUUUGGGCGGUAGGAUAAAGGUCUCUGUCACGUACCUCCCUUCGGGGAGGCCUUAUAGGGAAAACAACAUACUACCACCCUGAACUGAGGUCCGCGCAUCUGCUAGGAUGCUGGCGUAAUGGCUGUAACCGGCCCGUCUUGAAACCCGGACCAAGGAGUCUAACAUCUAUGCAAGUGUUUGGGUGUCAAGCCCAACCGCGUAAUGAAAGUGAACGGAGGUAGGAACCCGCAAGGGUGCACUAUCGACCGAUCCUGAUGUCUUCGGAAGGAUUUGAGUAAAACCAUGGCUGUUGGGACCC